Molecule: small RNA, 77 nt
Filed under: Xanthomonas fragariae
Lineage: Bacteria; Pseudomonadati; Pseudomonadota; Gammaproteobacteria; Lysobacterales; Lysobacteraceae
Description: sX9 sRNA
Rfam family: Xanthomonas sRNA sX9
Source: RNAcentral
AUGUACAGCUUUAACGCUCCGGGUCUGAGUGCGCCGUCUGCACCCACCUGACGAUUGCUCGCUACGUUUUGUCAGUC